AAGCAGAUCAGGAGUUUUGGGGCCGGGGGAGGGAGGAAUGGGGAGUGAGCGCUUUGGUGCAGGGCUUCCUUCCGGGGAGGGAAAUAUUCUGAGCUAGACAGUGGUGAUGGUUGCACAGCAUUGUGAAUGUAUUUAAUGCUAUGAAUUGUUUAACACAGUGAAAUGCUUAAAUUUAUUAUAUUUAAAUUUUGAAUCACAAAGUAUAAAAAACCAUAAGAGAGUAAAAGGAAAAAAUAAAAUAAAACCCAAACAAAAACAAUAACCAGGGAGGGAAAGGAAGGUUCUGGUGAGGGAGCAGGUUGAAGCUGUGGCGCAGGAGCUGGCGCUGACGGCAGUUCCAGAGCUGGCUCUCCCUGCAGGGGUCGUGGGUCCUGAGCUGGCUCAGGGUCUCCUUCUCCUGCAGGAGCAGGAGCUGGUCCAGGUGAGGCUUCUCCUGCAGAAGUCCUGAGUCCUAAGCAGCUGAGGGUCUCCUGCAGGAGCAGGUGCAGGUGAGGUGAUGGUUCUCCCUGCAGGGAUGGUGGGUCCUGAGCUGGCUCUCAGCUUCCUUUAGAAGCUGCUCCAGAUGCCGGCCCUCAUCCCAGCACUGCUGAUGGAACCAAUAUCGGUGCUGCCUGCAGCUCUGGAGCAGCUGCUGCAGGUGGUACUACAGCUGAAGGUGGACGUUCCUCCGGCUCUGGAGCGGGCUUUACUUCUGCACUGGCUUCUGCACCUGUACCUGGCUCCUCAGAAUGUAGGGGAACCGGAGCUGGAGCCAGUGCGAAGUACUGAGAUGGUGCUGGAACUACAGGAGGAGAAAAGAUGCCCCCCGCCUGCUCUCCAUGUGCCUUCCCAAAGACAGAACACAUCCCAGAGCCUUCCAGAGAAGCUCCAGCCCAGGAACCCACAACACGACAUCUUUCCUGACCGCAGUCCGCCAGAGGGGUGGUCUGAGGCCAGUCUUUGCUCCAGGCCAACACUGCAGUCUGGGGGAUUCUUUCCUGUGUGUCCAGCACCAACCCCUCCUGAUAUGCUCACAUGUACCCACCCCAGGCUUUCUCACUCUUGGGCUCUGCCUCAGUGGGCUCCAGGUACCCCAGCGGGGUCAGGAGAAGUUGGACACGGUGCUCCAGGUCAGAGCCAGGCACACUGAGCAGCACCAUUGGCUGAUGUAGGCUGGCAAAGUCUGAGGUUGAUGGCAGUCUUCUGGGUACUGGUCCAGCCAGGUGCCCAGGAUGGAGGAGAUGGCACUGGAGGUAGGUGGGUGGGCAGGAGAGUUGGAGGCCUGGCCUCUCCUUCCACGUGGCCCUCCCUUGGCACCCCUGUGGGGGCUGGGCUCCUGGGCCCCCCUGCCCAUCCAGAGGCCAGUCCACCCCAGCCCACCCCCACGUGACGGUCCAGCAGGGGCAGGCCUGGUCAGCAGGCUGGCCUGCGAAGUCUCCAUGGGAGGGAGCCCUCCGUCAACGCUGGGACCACCUCUCCCUUCCUCGGGGAACCCGACGCACUCCUGCCUGUCCCCCGGCCGCUCCCCACUGGAAUGUCAACUCCACGAGGACAGGGAGGGCGGUGCCUGCUCUGUUCAUCGCACUGGCAGGCGCGCAGUAAGUGCUGCACGCACAUGUGAGGGAGGAGGGACCAGGCGGAGUGUGUCCUGCUGCCCAGCCUUCACGGGGCCCUCGUGGCACCUCAGCCUGCCGCUCAUACACCGCUGUGCUGUCUUACUCUCUGCGAGGCCUGUGUGGGUCUCGUCUCCCCCCUGACACUAUCCUUGGGAAUGGGGACACAGCCGGCCCAGCCCCACAUGCAGCUGGCCUUGCAGGACUGAGGCACCAGGCUGAUGCGUGAGCAGGUGGCUCCCCACACCUCCUUCCUGGGCCCUCGGCUCAGGGGGUGCUGAGCAGGGCUGGGAUGGGCUGUGGUGGGGUUGGAUUCUCUCAGGGGCCAGCUCUGAGGCCCCAGCCUCUUCUCUGCUCCACAGGGGGCCCGGGACCCCAUCUGCGGCUCUCUGACUCCUUUCCUUCUACAGGAGAAGCCUCCGUACCUCAGCCCUCUAGCAGGAAUCACGAAAUGCGUGGGAGCCAGGGUGUUAUGCCCCGCCCCCCAGCCACAGACCUCAGAUGUCCCCCACCUUGGAGACACAAGCCCUUCUUCUUGACUCAAAGCCCAGUCAUUUCCUGCUCGGUCCUGGGGUCUGCUGUCCUUGUCGCAAUCAGGAUGAAAGAAUCCACAUCUAGAGGAGGCCAGGAGGGCAUUGCAUACACCUGCUCUGAUGUCUAGUGGGACUGGCUGACUCCCCAAUCAGACUGGAGCCCAGGAGGACACGGGUUUUCGUGUCUGUAUAUGGCGGGUUGGGGGGCUUUAUAUACAUUUGCUGAAUGAAUGAAGCCCAACCAGCACCUUGCUGACAUCUGAGUGGGCCUGGGCCCCGGGCAGCCCCCAGGGCUCCCUGCUCUGCCUGCACCCAGGCUGGGACCCCCCCAGGGAAUUGGAAGGCUCCUUUAGAAAUGGGAAAGCAGCUGUGUCCAAGGCCACAGGGUGCUGAGGCUUGAGGCAGAGAGCUUCACGGGGGAGAGGAAAGUCCUAAAUCAGGACAACCACAGCCCUCGGCAGCCCUCCCCACAGGGCCAGGCCUGAGCAAACUGAGGCUCAGAGAGGUGAAGGGACACUCCCAAGACACACAGCCAGGAGGUGGGCAGGGAGCCACGGUGCUGUGCAGGGGCGGGGCGCCCACCUUUUGAACAGCAGGUCCAGGACCUGUUGGGUGGUGAAGGCUCGGCAGGUGCACAGGAGGAGGGUGACACAGGAGAGGUCGCUGCCCUGGAAGGCAGGCACCAGGCGCUCCACAGCUUCUCCAGGGUAUCUGCACUGACUGUCCCCACCCUGCGGGUCUCAUCCAGGUUCAAGGCCCACUCAUUUUCACACUGGGACUCAUUUUCGGACAAAGAGGGACAACUCAAAAAAUGGACUGUAGAAAAAUACUUGUGUUCACAUCCUGAAGUGCAACAGUGUAUAAAAGAUUGGUUCUGACAAUCUUGCAACCAUGUGAAAAGUGACUUUGCACCUGCCCAAGGCUGGGGCUGAACGGCGAGGGCAGAGGACGGGAGGAACUCAUACUCCAUGGGUUGGGGCUGUGGCCACUCAGGGGCAAAGCCCUUGGCAGAACCCUGGGUAGUCACUUGGGUGGCUUCUAGGCAAGAGGCCUUCCCCAGCCACCUCUGGGCCCUGGUUCUAGAGACCUCUCCAAGCCUGCACUCACCCGGAGCCACCCCGCUGGUGGUGUGGUACACCUGCCCCUCACUCAGGGAGACAGCGUGAGUGUCCCCAUCCAGUAGCUCCUCCCUGAUCUCCUGCGUGGAGCUCUGCAAAGACGGUGACCAGCAGCCGGCCCCCAGGCAUCAGAGCCCUGCCUGGCCUCAUCCCUGCUUCUUUUGCCCACUGACCUUCUGCUCCCAGAUCAGGCACAGACCUCCACCUGGGAUGAAAGAGAGACAUCUUGAGGGCUCAGGAUAAUCCUGGGACAGAAGAGUGAAACUCCAGCACUCCAUGUCCCGCCCAGCCAGCCUUGACCUGGGGUGUGAACUUGAUCUGCCCACCAGGCUUCCAACCCCUCAUCAUCCCUCUUGCUUGGGGCAAGCCCACCCCAAGAGCGCGCGCGCACACACACACACACACAUGGGGAGGGGAGGUGGGGCUGCCCAGGUGGGAUCAGAGUGGUGACCCGGCCUGGACUGGUCUGUCCUGGCUCUCCCCAUGUUACCUUUGGGUCCUUUCAGGCAAAUGGCCAGAAGCGUCUGAGGUGAGACCUGACAACGUCUGCAGCGUCGGAAGAUGCUCUCACUGCGGGCGUUUUUGAAGCCACAGCCUCGGGACAUGGGGAUACAGCAAGAGAGCGUGCUGCUCUCCAGAGCGUGUCCAGCCAAGUGAGCUGGGUAGGGAGCUGUCUCUAGGAUGUGCGUGUCUGGGGCAGACCCCGGGAACCUUGGGGACCCCCUGCCCAUCAGCGUGGCAUCUCUCCCCCUCCCCAUGCUAUGGGUCCCAGGCACAUGGCAGGGGACCGGCUGCCCCUGCCCCCUGGCAGAGCUGCCUCCACCUCCUGCUUCUUUCCCCUGUCACCUCCCAGUGUCCAUUUCCCUUCCAGACCCCACUCGGGCAGUCAGUGUGUGUGUGUGUGUGUGUGUGCGUGUGUCUGUGCCCAUGUGGGGAUGCCCAGAGGAAAGAGCCCCACAUAGGAGGGGGUGGGAAGGGGUCUCCCAGGAUAUUAGGGUCUCUCAUUCCCAAAGUAAAUCUUAUGGGAAGGUUGGAACCCUCCCUUCUCUGGGGUCUACCCAUCUUUUGGACCCCAGGCCAGACCCUGCCUUUCCCGGCCUCAGUUUCCCAAUUGUCUCAUGAAGGUUUGGAUGAGGAACAGCAUUAGUCCGGCUCAGCGUGGGCGGCCCGGGGCUCCGGCUCCCGGGCUGAGAGCGGCAAGAGAGCGCUCCCUGAGGGCGCGGACUUCCCACUAACUGGCAUGGACCCUGCGGUGGCGCGCGCACACCGGCCAACAGACAGCGCGCGCACGUGACCCCGCCCCACGGCGGGUUCGCCACAAAGCACCAACGGUUCCCCACGGGGCUACCGUUGUCCCCCUGGUACCCAGUGUCCCCAUCUCCAACUGCUGCUCUGUGACCCCCACGUCCCCUUUAGCCUGGGGCAACCCCCACCCCAGCCAGGCCAGCCUGCGGACUAGGAGCUGGGGACACGGGGUCCAGCCCUUUGAGCCUCUUCAUCUCCUGCUUUAAUCCCAGCACACCCUCCCGAGGGUGGAGUCACUGACCCCAUUCUCAGUGGAGGAAACUGAGGCUGGAGAACUCACCACAUGAGCUGGCCUGUCCCAGGGCCGGGGCAUGGCCCAGCUGGGGUCGCAACCUAGGUCAAUCUGACCCCAAAGGCUGUGCUUACACAGGAGCCCGAGGAGGUGCCUCUGAGCCCAGCCUUGGAGGUUCACACGGGUGAUGCAGCGUCACUCAGCCUCUGGAUGGAGAGCAGCAGCGAGGAGCUGUGCUCACAGACCCUGAGACACAGCGCCCGUGUGUGCCCGAGGCUGCCAAGGCGUGGUGGAGGCUGGGGAGGAGGAGGUGCUGCUGGAGGCCAAGCUGAUGCCAGAGAUCAUCGGGGACCAUGCGGAGGGGGCUCCAGCACAAAGCUCAUGUUGAUCUCCUCCAUUUUGGAGCUGGAGCAGCUGGCCGAGAGCAUGCUGAGCAGGUGGGCCAUGUCUCCGUUGCUCAGCACAUCCACUUUACCAGGAGAAAACCAGCAGCGUUUGUGACUAAUGACAAAAGGGGAGAGAUGAGAGACGGCACCCCAGCCUGACAGGCAACGCAGGGCUGGAGGGAGGACAGGGGGCGAUGCGGGCAGCGCUGACCCUCUUGGCCCUGGGAUCUCCGUCCCCAGAGCCUUCCAGGUGCCCAUCAGCCCCUCCAGUGGUACCUGCGGAGCUCCUGCUGCAGGUGCAGAGCGCUCGUGCCUCAGGGACCAGCCGUUGUGUUGGGAGGAGCACCUUCUUCAUCUCAGCAACCACGUGAGACCAGAGCUAGAAGGUCCUUCUCCAAUCCUCCCAGUGGUUCUCACCUGGGUGCCCUGGGCAUGGGGUGGAGGGUGGGGACAAUGCUUCAGUCUGUGGCAUGUCCCGCCCCCCCUUACAUGACAGUGGUCUCCCCAACACCCCAGGCACUGGGUCAGCCCAAAGUGCCUCCAUGCAUUUCCCAAAGCCCUGGAGAGACAGUGCCGGCCAGGACGGGGGUGAAAACCUGGCCAGGUUCAGCAGGUAGAAGCUUCCAGGAACACUUUUCCUGACCCUGAGUCCAUGCCAACUGUACCUAUGAGUUGGGGGGCAUUGGUGACACUUCCUGCACCUCCAGUUCCCAGACAGACGUGGGGACAGUGCUCCUUCCAGGGCGGGGCUUCCGUGAAGUUAAGUGAGAUGGAUGCAGGUGGAGCAGGCGGCCCAGCACCUGCUGUCACGGUGAGUGGAAUCAGCACGGAAAGUCAAACACGGAGACACGGGGGGCCCUGCACCUCGGACUCUCCCGAGGACAUGACUGAUACAAUCCAGGCCUUCCCGCUUCUCUCAAAUAUGAGUGCCUGCCACGUCCUCCCCACAGCCCUGGGAGCUCGAUUCUUCCCACGUGGACCAGGGAGUUCUGGGUUCAGGGCCGAGCUGUUUCUGGAGCUUUCACAAGUGGGUGGGGGGAGGGAGGUCGCUGCUGCCUCCUGCUCCGGGCUUGGUCCAGGACCCCAGAGGCAGCCCUGAGCCGGACCGCCCGUGCUUCUGUGGCUGUGCGCCUUCACGCGUGGAGCCACGGAAUGGAGAAGGGGUCUCCGAGCCUUCAGCAGGCUUCUUCAACACAGCUUUCAGCUAGAAACCGCCCGGCACCACAGUUAGUGGACAUUUUUGUGGAUGUCACUCUUGAUUUUAAGACAAGCCACAAACUGGGACAAAAUAUUUUUAAAACACAUAUCUGGUAAAGAACUGGUAUUCGAAUAUACAAAGAACUCGAAACUCAACAAGAAAACAAACCACCCAAUUAAAAAAAUGGGCCAAAGAUCUGGACAGACACCUCACCGGAGAAGAUACACAGACAGCAAAUAAGUACAUGGAAAGAAACUGCCCAUCAUAUGCCACCAGGGCUUUGCAAAUUGAAACAACAAUGAGGUACCACUACACACCUAUUAGAACGGCUAAAAGCCCGAAUGCUGACACCAUGAAAUGCUGGCAAGGACGUGGAGCAUCAGGAAAGUCACGGCUGGUGGGAAUGCAAAACGGCGCAGCCACUUCGGGAGGCAGUUUGGUGGUUUCUUAUGAAAUUAAACAUAUCUUAACAUAAGAUCCAACUAUUGAGUUCCUUGGUAUUUUCCCAAGAGUUGAAAAUUUAUGUCCACACAGAAACCCACACAAGAAUGAUCAUAGUAGCUUUAUUUCAAACAGCCCCAAACUGCAAAGAACCCAAACGUCCUUCAAUAGGUGAAUGGUUAAAUGCACUGUGGUCCCUCCAGACCAUGGAAUACUACUCAGCAACAAAAAAGGACGAACUCUCCCUACACACAAAUCUCAGAAGGUCAC
RNAcentral lists this long non-coding RNA (7075 nucleotides) under Equus asinus (donkey). RNAcentral describes it as "lncRNA (ENSEASG00005038705.1)". The record is from RNAcentral. Lineage: Eukaryota; Metazoa; Chordata; Mammalia; Perissodactyla; Equidae.